UCAUUUCACCCAGGGAGGCAUUUUUGCCCCCAACUCUGUCUACAUCAUUCAUGCCGAGUUGGUUAUACCAAAGCACCAGCGGUGACGAGCCAUUGUUGGACAUCGAACAAUCCUUUUGUGAUAAAUGAACGAGUUUAAGAAACACAUAGUUGCGUAUUUAUCCUGGCAUACUUAAACCCGCGAAAAAAACGGUGAAUCGUUCAAGCAAAUUUAUUUUUUCAUUUUUUCAGAUUGUUUACGUAGUUGCGCAAACCCGCGCAUAGCACGGCAUUCCC
RNAcentral lists this unclassified non-coding RNA (275 nucleotides) under uncultured fungus. RNAcentral's name for it is "partial internal transcribed spacer 1". The record is from RNAcentral. Lineage: Eukaryota; Fungi.